AAUGGCAGGUCAGCAUACUGCCGUGAAUACGUUCCCGGGCCUGUACACACCGCCCGCCACACCAUGAGAGUUGGGAAUACCCGAAGCCUGUGAGCUAACGAAAGAGGCAGCAGUCGAAGGUAGAAUCAAUGAUUGGGGUGAAGUCGUAACAAGGUAAC
This 158-nucleotide ribosomal RNA is filed under the name uncultured bacterium. RNAcentral describes it as "partial 16S ribosomal RNA". It matches the Rfam family "Bacterial small subunit ribosomal RNA", at positions 1340 to 1500 of the family's 1533-position model. The record is from RNAcentral.